AUCGCUCAGGUUCAGCACGUUUCCAGAUACCUGGUUGAGGCUGUCUACUGCAUAUUUAAACAUGAAGGGAACCAGUAUGUUCAUAGCCUUAGCACUUGCUAAAAACCCCAGAGAUAUGGCUACUCUGGCUCGCAGGUCUGGUCUGUCUUUGGGCCACACGUAAGACAGCAUCGCUCUGACAAUCUUUUUGGCAUCUAUCUCUUUCAGCCCUUCCUUUGGAUCUGUGUGAAGCCCUCCACCUGCAUGUCCAUGCCAACACAUUCUCUUUUCUAUCAGUUGCAAGCUUGGGGAAAUAGCUGAUAUCUCCAAUAACGGCCUUGAAUGACCUCCCAUCAGACUCUGCCAUGAUCUUCGUUUGCGGAUUGGUGGAACCGUGCCGCUGCCCGGGCCCCGCCGCCGCCCGCUCCCCGCGAACCAGCCGUGCGCGCAGGCGGCGGCCGCCGGAGGCCGCAGCAGAGCGAUGGCGAGGAGCAGCCGGCGCGGACAGGAGGCCGCCUGCAGCACCAUCUUGGCAGCGGAGCGCGGGGGGUUGUGGGACGGCGGCGGAGCGCGGGGAGGGGCGGGGCGGCAGCGCGGCGGCACCCGACGGGGCGCGCUCCCGCCCGGCACGAGCGUGCAUGGCGGAUCUCGUCGCGCGAGGAGGCUGCGGCUCUGCGCGGCGUUUUUAUUCACGUAAAAAUUUCUUCAAAGCCACCGGAGCUCCACUGCCGGUGUUGUUGCCCCCGAGGGAGAGUCGUAAGCUCGUUUGUGGGGGAGAAAGGCAGGAAGACGGAGAUGAGCAGGAGGACGGCUGGCUUUAAGCUGAUUUUUAACGAGGCAGGCUUUUUCCUCCCCGCGCUCUGAUACGCAGCUUUGCUCCUGCCCGGGAUUCGGUUUAAACGACGGAGGCGGCGUUUCUCUGCCGCUGAUCUCAUUGUUCUCCACGACUGCGCUCAGCACGGCACAGCCGGAACAGCGCCGCCCAGCGGCGUCGCUCGGACACGUCAGUGCCAGGCUCAGGGCUGCCGGGCGCCCGCCUCCCCGUGUGCCCUUUUCGACGUGGCGGUCGGAGCAGCAGCAGGUGAGGGAUGUGACCUUGCCCGGGACACGCAGGACGCCCAGCGCAGGCUGACCGACGCUUCGUUUAGAGCGAUGUCCAGUUUUUGUGCCGAAUUUCAGCAGGCCUUGCUGAGGUAGCCUUGAUACAUCCAGUAUGGACACCGUGUGCUCUGGAUAGAGCUGCGCUCAGCUGUACGAUAUGCGUCCACUGUUUCCACCACAUUAGGCUCUCUGUAUGGACUUACCAAGGGACACUAUUUCCACCACAUUAGGCUCUCUGUAUGGACUUACCAAGGGACGCCCUGGCUGUGUACAGCAGAACCCUGAAUGGUGCUCUCGUGGCACUUAACGUUGAUCUGCUGCCUUUCUCAUGGAGAUCCACAAAAUCGCUUGGAGAACUUGUCAAACCUCACAGUAUCAGACAACUGGACUAUUACAGCCUUUCCUUAGGUAAAAGGAAAUGAGAAUAACAGGUUCCAUACACCCUUACAGAGCCAAUUAUAGAACCUGUUACAUACUUUCCAUGAGACACUAACAUUGAAGAUGGAAAAUACUCAUUCUAGCAUUCAAUUCAUACUCCCUUUAAGUACAGGCUAGCACUAAUUUCGGUCUAGUAUAGUUUUAAUGUUCUCAAGCCAGCACUGAUUACAUGAGAAAUACAUACAUUCCUUUCAUGAAAUACGAAUGGGAAUUUGGCCUUCUAAUUGAAUAUUCAAAAUGAAGUCCUGCCAUUCAUCUAACGCUGGAAAAAGCACCCACAUCAGAAGACUGGCAGAGAGGAGGCGAUUCAUUAUCAAAAAGCCAUCAGAAGUGCUAAAUAUUGAGCUUAGUUCACUGAUAACUGAGGGGUGACUAUAGCCCUGCUGUAAGCAUUUGGACAGGGUGAGAAAUUAGGAGCAAUGAUAGAAGGAGCGAGUACUGGAUGUAAUGGGAUCAAAUUAAAUACAGGGAAGUUAAGUAUCUGGCAAAGAAGAAUUUAAAUUGGAAUGAGAUAGGCAAAAAAAACCCAAGAUGGGACAGCUGAGAGAAGAAGAAAAGAGGGGCCAUGCAUACACCUCAGUGGUCAGAAAUCAGGAUAACAAAGCUCAUGAUGUAGAUCCAGAAGGAUAGCAUGAGAGGUUUUUCAUGUUAUAAACUCACACUAUUUCAAGCAGCUUGCCAUGAAAAAACAUACAUGCUUCUCUGCAGAGUUAACUGCAGAAGCAGAGGAUCUCCUUGUAUAACUCAGACAAAAAUCAAUCUCUGCUCAGAAUAAAUGACAAGACAAGAUUAGUAGAAGAAAUAGAAGCCCAAGGAAUGGUAACAACUCAUCACAGAGGAGAUUUGUGAAUAGAAACCUAAAAGGUCUCUAAUCGGGAUGUUUCCUACACCAACUCCCACAAAAUAUUAUCAUAGAAUCACCAAGGUUGGAAAAGACCCACAGGAUCACCCAGUCCAACCAUCCACCCAUCACCAAUGGUUCUCACUAAACCAUGUCCCUCAACACAACAUCCAAACAUUCCUUGAACACCUCCAGGCUCGGUGACUCCACCACCUCCCUGGGCAGCCCAUUCCAGUGCCUGACCACCCUUUCAGAGAAGCAGUAUUUCCUGAUGUCCGGCCUGAACCUUCCCUGGCACAGCUUGAAGCCAUUCCCUCUAGUCCUAUCACUAGUCACACGAGGGAAGAGGCCGACCUCCAGCUCACUGCAACCUCUCUAUUAUGUUGCCAAUACUAAAAUUCUGAAGUACUAAAUGCUAAAAUACCAUGGCGAACUAAUAUUACACAAAUCUGAGGGAUAUACCCUGUAGUAUGGCCACCAGUCCUUCCAUGACACGUACAAUCAGCAAACCAGGUCUUGAAUAUACUCUAACGUGCUGCACAGCUUUAUCUGGGAUGUCUCAGUAGCCCUCACAGCAAAGUGAAGAUAAAAAAUAAAUAAAAAUGAAGACACCCCUGACAUAUUGGGUGUUGGCACGAAGACUAAUUUGCUAAUGUUUUCUCAACACUUUGAAAGCAUCAUCUGGCUAAUAAAAGAUACUGUAAGUGAGUACUUAGUUUUUCCCUACAAGAACCAAACAAAUUCCACUGUGGAGGUAGUAUAUAUCCCAUAAAAAUAAAGGUAUUUCGGAGGCAAUGCAUUUGAAUUAAUUUAUUCUAUUUAUUUCAAAAUAGAUGAAUGGAAGGGGAAAAGUAGCCAUAAUGGAUAAAAAAAAUUACAUUUGCAGAUGGAUGUGAACUGUGAAAUCCAUUGCACAAUGAAAGAAUGAACUGUAACAAAACAAAAGCUGUACAACUGGUUCAGAUGAUUCCCAACAGGUAUAUUAACUCAGCUCUUGUGAAGCAGCUGUUGUUAUCACAGAGUCCUCAAUGCCAAAGUUGAUAACGUAGAAUGGCUUAGGUUGGAAGGGACCUUAG
This 3435-nucleotide long non-coding RNA is filed under the name Gallus gallus (chicken). The record is from RNAcentral. Lineage: Eukaryota; Metazoa; Chordata; Aves; Galliformes; Phasianidae.